Saimiri boliviensis boliviensis (Bolivian squirrel monkey) is the source of this 3760-nucleotide non-coding RNA. The record is from RefSeq and is a predicted model, not a curated record. NCBI's taxonomy places the organism in Eukaryota, Metazoa, Chordata, Mammalia, Primates, Cebidae.
UCUCCACCACUCAUACUCACCUUAUUUCUCCAUGAGUUCCUUAGCUUCCAGUGAGCUCAUGCUCAGGUCUUCCUUAUCCUUCCACUCCAACAGCCACAUAUCAUCCCCAAAAGUUCUCACUGCUGUGCUUGAAGUUACAUUUUAUUUCCACUGCCUAGAUAUUCUUCUUCCUAGCUCCCCCUCAAGAGUGGUUUAAGAAUCAGGCCAACAUCAUCCAAAAUGCAGUCCUUGAGCACCCUUCCUCAUUUAGUUCACUCUUCUGCAAACACUCCCUCAAUUCAUGUGGUCACUUUGUUCAAUAAUAAUAGAUAGUUUAUCUGCACAUUUCUAGUUUGGCAAAUAUUCUGCCACCCUAAAUGGAUUGUGAGGUCCUUAGGAGUAAAAGCCCCAUUUUCUAAUUAUUUUAUAUUGUCCAAAGCAUCAAUUGUUCUGUCCAUGGCAGGUUCUGUAAACGCUGAUUAAAUGACCUACCAUGGGAAAUACAGAAAAGAGGAACACUUUUUCAUAACAGGCAAUAUUUCAGGAUUAUAGAUAAUGCCUUGUGGGACAGAUGACCCCUACACCCUCUCUAAGUUAUUUUAGUCCCACAGAGCCUAUAUCUACAACUUCUCCAUGAAUAAAAAAUGCGGUCAAAGUUACAGUGGAACCCAGGUUUGGGCCUUGCAAAGGGGUCAUUACAAUUUUUUUCUAUUGAGAUUAACCAAACAGACUGAAUCCUGAUAAUACCACCAAUUUAGAUUCUACCAGUUCUAGAAAAAUUGAAUAUUCUAUCCUAAUAACUACUGCUUUUUACUUUAUGGAAAAAGGAAAGUUUUCUUUUAUAGUUUUUUUCCCCCUGCUUAUCUUUGUUUGUCUUAUUAAAAGCCUUUUGAAUCUAGAUUCUACAGGGUAUUUAUUCUUGAAGCUGGGGCUGUACUGCAUUAUUGAUGGAACAUUCCAUUGUGAAUUCUAAUACUCCUAGAAAGUACUGCACAACAAAUCCGUUUCUGCCAAGAUAAAUAUAGGAGAUUUAGAACUAUACAAGAGGGAUGGACAGUUCUUGACACUCACCACUGCUUCUCAAAACUGCAUAAAAUAUAAUUGAUAUACAAGAAAAUACAUUUUCCACCUCCACCCCUUCUUUUAAUUAUUAACUUUCCUAUUGUCCUGUUAAAUAUAGUAUUUACUAGUUUACACAAAAGAAAUAUAACUUUUGCAAGCCUUACCUCAGAGUGGCAACCAGCCAUCCCAGUUUAAUAGACAACAUAUUUUUCUACUUGAUAUUCCCCAAAUACAUUGAACUGCAGUGUGUUUGCUUUUUCUUUUUAAAUUAAAUCAUUAUCUUUUUCUUACAUCUUUUAAAAAUACUUGCUGGAUAAACUUCGAAAUUUUACAACAAUACCCCUGAGACAGUUUUAGAGAAGUCCUUUGAUUAUUCUAACUUAACAUCAGUGUCAUGGAAAACAGAAUUAUAUAUCGAAGUGUCCUCUCAUAUUCAGAACAACAUCCAAUACUCUUCAAAGAAGGGAAUGUUCAUGAUUAUAUACAUAUAUAUUUAUUGACUAUGUUGUUCAACUCCUUAUUUCAAGGAGAGUCAAUAACUUUCUUUCUUGAUAAAAACUACCGUGUGAGCUGGACACGGUGGUUCGCAUUUGUAAUCCCAGCACUCUGGGAGGCUGAGGUGGGCUGAUUGCUUGAGCUGAGGAGCUCAAGACCAGCCAGGACAACAUGGUGAAACCCUGACUCUACUUAAAAUACAAAAAUUAGCCAGUCUUGGUGGUGUGUGCUUGCUGUCCCAGCUACUCGAGAGACUAAGGUGGGAGGAUCACUGGAGCCUGGGAGGCUGAGGCUGCAGUGAGCUGAGAUCACACCGCUGUACUCCAGCCCAGGUGAUCAGGUGACAGAGCGAGACCCUGCCCCAAACAAACAAACAAACAAACAAAACAAAAAAACUACCAUGUGCAUUAUUACUAAGCCAAGAUUUCACAAGGCUUUUGAAAAUUUCAAAUGACUUAAAUGUUUACAAGUACCAAAAACUUUUUGAUAUUUUAAAAUAAGCUUUUUCCUUUUUAAUCACCAUGCAGCAUGCUGUGCCAUCAUGAUGAGAGCCUGAUGGCUAAUGUGAAAUAACGUUGGCAUGUCAUUUAAAAGGUUAACAAACAUGAAAAAUGGGAAAUUUAAUAUUGUUUAAUACAAAUAAAACUGUUUUUGAAAGAAAGACAUCUGGGUUGAGGGUGGCUUGCUUGAAAACUUCUCCUAUCAUCUCUGAAUAAUUAUUUUGCUCCUCCUGACUUUACUCAAGGCGCCUAAUCCUGAGGCAAAGGACUUUAUACAGUGAUUCAGGAGGUUUGAGAAAGCAGGACUCAUGAGACUAAAAAGUAGGAAAUUACUAUCCUGCCAGCAAUGGAACACCUCUUUGGCUACAACCUCACCUAAAACUUGAUUGAAUCAGAAAAUUAGUUGAACUUUCCAAACCAGUCUCCUGCUAUUUUAAUUCAUAGCAUGCAGCUGGGGCUUUCAAAAGCAGGUGCUACGUAUAUACAGAGAGAAAUACAUACCUUUGGUUGCCUCUCAAAAUCCGUUAUGCUAAACUCACCAAAUACGUUACAUGUUAAAUGUUUUAUUCCUUGUGUUUCCAGAUCUCCAGUUAUCAAUUUGCUAUCUAUCCUCCUACCAAACAUGAUUUAACCAAUUCAUACCCUGAUUGGUAUUACAAUUCUUGUAAAUAAAAUAACCCUUUUCUCCCUCUUUAUUUUUACCAGGUAUAACCUCUUUGAUUGCAAAGAAACAUAAAUACAAUAUUUUAACACUCUUUUGACAUAAGCAUUCGCUUUCUUACAUAAGCAGUAAUACUUUUGUACUCCACCAGAACACUAAAGAAGCUAAAUGGCAAGAAUUAGUAUUUCUGUAAAAUCUGUAGAAAUUUUAAUGAAAUGGGACAGGUUUCUAAAAAAAAAAAAAAAUGCCAAGAAAGGAAAAGGUUGACUCCUUACUUUUAUAUUUCGAGUUUUCUAUUUUGUAUCAAUAUAUGCUGCAUUUUCUGAUUGAAAUUGCUGUUCUGUCUAAUGAAAUUUGUGAUUUUCUGUAGUUGCUUUUUACAUUUGAAAGCAAACUUUCAUACUGUGUGUGCUUAACUGUACCCUUUCUGUUAGGGAUUAAUUAAAAUACUCUGUUUCAUUAAUUCCUUUUUAUGUGCUAAAUGUAUGUGACAUUUAUGGCUUUGUUAUCUCAAAAGCUAUCUGUGGACAAAAUUCAUGAAGCCUGUAGACUGUGAUUUAUACACAUGAAAGAAAAAAAUCAAUUUCCUUCUAAGCAGUGAAUCAGUGAAUAAGAAACUGUUCAGUGGCCUCUGAUUCCUGACCCUUUAUCCUUCAUGGCCUUUUUUCUAUUCUUAACCAUUCCUUGAGUAAUUGUGUGUUCUUGUAAAAUGCAAAAUCAACUUACAUGCAAUCAGGUAUGGACACAAGAAAUGCUUGUGCUCUCGAUUUCAGGACUCACAGAUACCGUAACAGUCACAGGACUGUAGUUCUCAGUAUUUUUGUUAAUAAUGUGGCUUUGCUAUAAAAUAAGUUAGUGUUUCCUUUGCUUUGUUACUAUAAGAUUUUAAAUGUUGCAGCAAAUGAAAGAAUGAAAACACAUUUGAAAGCUGGUGUCAAAAAUCAUCAGCUGUACUUACAAAAGUUGUUGUGCAGCUUCUGAAAUGUAGUUUAUUGCUGUAAAUAUGUACAAUUUAUGUUAGCUCGUUUAUUCUGAAAAUACUAAUAAAACUUUUUUAAAAUUA